Long non-coding RNA from Canis lupus familiaris (dog), 1713 nucleotides. RefSeq lists it as uncharacterized. The record is from RefSeq and is a predicted model, not a curated record. Lineage: Eukaryota; Metazoa; Chordata; Mammalia; Carnivora; Canidae. The transcript is spliced from 3 exons.
CUGAGGAAAGACGAGAGCAUGAUCUCCCAUUUCCACUCAGGGAAACUGUUCUCCUUGACAUGUUCAGGGGCGGGAAGGUAAUAUCGUCCACGCACAAAGAGUUCGGAUGGGUGGUUUGGCCCAAGGGUGGAACAUAUUGUGCCUGUCGUCAAAUAGUUGGACUACACGAACAUACUUGCAGGUGAGGCAGCUGGAGCAUCAGCAUCCAUCUCGGGACCAUCACGGAAAGACCAAGAGAGUGGGAGAUCCUGACAUCCAUGGGCCUCGGUGCCGAUGCCAGCAACGAACACCUGCGCUACCUCCAGACUCUUCCACGAGACAAAUCCAUCUCCAAUAUCCAUCGUCCAACACUAUCACACUGGGGAUUAAAGCUUCAACAUAUGGGUGGGGGUCAGUGCGCAAACACGGGGAGCAGCCACUAUUUUAGUAACACACCCGCCGUGAUCGGUAGACUGCCCCCGUCCCGUGUCAGGAGUCUGGGCUGGGUUGCCAAGAACCCUCACUUCCUUUCUUCACUAGUAGUUCCUUCUCUCUCUCUUCUUUCCUAAAGAAGUUUUACGUUAAUAGGGAGAAGGAUCUUGCACCCUCUCUAGGACACCACGAUCAUCUCUCAAAGAACAAAAAAAAUAGAAGCUAUGGGGACGCAGACUUCAGCUCUCUCUAUCAAAGACUCCUCUGUCCGGGCUCCCCAAGUGUCACACAAGCUUAAUUAAAGCACUUUGCACCUGACCGUGAAGAACUUGUGUGCCAUCUUUGUGAUGAACACCCCACCCCUCCCACGCCACGUGUGCGGCGCGGACGCUGUUCUUUCCUGGGUGUGAAGGAGGCUUUGGAAAGAAGUGAAACCCUGAGGCCGAAGGUGGGACAGCUUGCUCUUUGGAGACAAGAGCAAAGAUGGAAGGAGGCUGGUGAGUACAGGAGGGAGGGCACUGAGCUCCUGCAGAUGGGAGCUGGACGUGGGGCGAUCACGGAGCCGAGUAAGAUUCAGUCCCUGGAAAAGAACCUGUAUGUAGAGACCUGCAGCUCGGGGGACCAGGUGAGCGUCCGGCUCAGGGUUCUGGAGAAGACGGGAGACCGGGGUCAGCCUGUCCCCGGGACAAGAUGUAUUUCCUUAUGCCCUUGAAGCGGAAAAUGCUCGCUCGAGGGCGCAGAAGCACCUGGGGAGGAGCACACACGCUUCCGUCUAACACUGCCCCGCGCCACCUGCAGCAGGUGAGUGGGGACUGCUCACCUGUACGGGGACGCUGGCCUUCGGUGACUCUGGCCACCUUGGCCCGGUGUGACACUCCCAAUGACUCAUCACAAAGACGGGUCCUGGAGGGCCUAGGGGGCCGGGCUGUGCUCCCAGGCCCUCGGGCCAGGCAGGUGGGCGACUAGCCCAGGUCCCCGGCUGCCUAACCGCGCUCUCCUUGACGGCCAGCACCGCUGUCCCUGGCAGUGGUCCCCACGGUCCCGAGGUCCCCCGACUCCGCUACGCAUGGCCCGGGUACCAUCCAAGGUGCAAGGGCCCCGAUGCCCUCUCAGGCUCUUGAGCCUCUGCUCAACUCUUGGGGUUUGUCCACGCAGGCCGCAGGUGGUUGGAGAGAGGCAUCCUUCCCCGCUGGGUCCCCCGUGCCCCCAGCACCCAGUCCCCGGGCCGCUGCCUCCAACCCAGCAGGGCUCCAAGGAAACAGGAACCCCACGGCCUGCUUCGCCUGGGCUCCCCUCAGCUGG